RNAcentral lists this long non-coding RNA (659 nucleotides) under Salvia miltiorrhiza (redroot sage). Its description in RNAcentral is "long non-coding RNA (SMIL_LNC003317)". Lineage: Eukaryota; Viridiplantae; Streptophyta; Magnoliopsida; Lamiales; Lamiaceae. The record is from RNAcentral.
GCGGCAGCGACGGAUGGUUUUUGUUGCUGCUCUCCGGCUGAAACAGAUGAUGGAGGCUACGCUGGAGCAUCCACGGGAGGUGCAAAACUACGAAGGAGAUCUGAUUUUUUUUUUCUGUGAUUUUACAAAUACUGAGAACAUAGGUGAGCUUGCGAGGAUGUGUGUGUCGGUGUGAUUAAAUUGAGGCGGCGGCGAAGAGGUGGAGGGCAGAGGGAGAUCUAGCCGAAAACUACAUGCUGCAGUUGAGUUUGGGUUCGUUUCCGGCGUUGCAGAGAGAUUUGGCCGGAAUUGAGAGAGAGAGAGAAGAAAAAAUAUUUUUUUCUAACGCCGUUAACGUCCGUUAAGUAGCGGGGGGGAAUUUGCUUCGAUUUUGCCACGUUGAGGUAGUAAGCAGCACUUACCCUGACUAUAGGGUGUGAUACGCGAUAGGGACGCCAUCGAUAGGGGGAAAUUGGUACUUAACCCAAUUUAAUAUUAUACUCAUUGACUUGAUAAUAUUAUAAUAUAAUGCUUCAAAUUAUUAAACUGCAAUUUUAUUAAGAAAAAGAAAAAGAAAAAACCUAAAACAACCCUUGAAAGCACAAGAAAAGCAGACUAAGGGCCGAGCCUCAUUAAAAGCUUUCCACGGAAAACCCAAUGGGAAAAACCGCAGAAAGGAA